RNAcentral lists this non-coding RNA (24 nucleotides) under Arabidopsis thaliana (thale cress). Lineage: Eukaryota; Viridiplantae; Streptophyta; Magnoliopsida; Brassicales; Brassicaceae. The record is from RNAcentral.
ACACUUUUCCUUCUUUGACGAGAU